UAGUUUUUUUUUUUUUUUUUUUUUUUUUUUUUUUUGUAAAAAUUUUAUUUUUGUCUAAUAAUUUUUUUUUAUUUGAUUAUUUUUAAUUUAGUUUAUUUGUACUGUGAAGGAUUUAAAUUUAUUAUUUUAGAAGAAUAAUUAUUUUUAGUACCUUUUGUAUCAGGGUUGAUUAACUUUUUUAAUUUAUUUUAUGUUCUCGAAGAUUAAGGAUUUAUUUUUUUCUGUAUUUUAUUGUUGAAUAAUAUAUUUAUAAGAAAUUAAUGGUUUUGAAAUGAAAUUCGUCUUUUUGUAUAUCUAGUUAUCUGGGAAUUUGAUUUAAUCAUGGAUAUUUAUUGAUUAAUUUUUUUUUUUUUUUUUCUUUUAAUUUCUAAUUAUUAGGGGGAUAAGCUCUUAAUAUUAAUAUAAGUUUUAUUUUUUUUUUAUUUUGUUGGAAUAGAGUCUUUUAUCAUUUUAAGUUCGUUAUAGAUUAAUAAUUUAUUUUCUGUUUCUUUUUAUUUUUUUACUGGAUUUUUUAUUAAUUUUUUUUUUUUUAAUAAUGAUUGAAUUAGUAGAUUUUUAAAUUAAGUAUAUGAACUCGGCAAAUUUAGUUUUCGCCUGUUUAUCAAAAACAUGUCUUUUAGUUUAUUUUAAAGGUUUGACCUGCUCAAUGAAUUUUUUUAAAUAGCCGCAGUAUUUUAACUGUGCUAAGGUAGCAUAAUAAUUAGUCUUUUAAUUGAGGUCUGGAAUGAAUGGUUGGACGAGAAACUUACUUUAUUUACUUUAUUUUUAUUGAAUUUUAUCUUUUAGUUAAAAAGCUUAAAUUUUGAAGUGGGACGAUAAGACCCUAUAGAUCUUUAUUAUUAAUGUAAUUUUUUUUUUUUUGAUUAUUUUUGUUUUUAUUAUUUUAUUAAUUUUGUUGGGGUGACAGUUAAAAUUUUAAACUUUAAUUUUUAUAUACAUUUUUUUAUGAUUUUUUGAUCCUUUUUUUUGAUUAUAAGAUUAAGAUACCUUAGGGAUAACAGCGUAAUAUAAUUGGAGAGUUCCUAUCGAUAAUUAUUUUUGCGACCUCGAUGUUGGAUUAAAAAUUUCUGUGGGGUAGGUUUUACAGUUUAAGGUCUGUUCGACCUUUAAAAUUUUACAUGAUCUGAGUUCAAGCCGGCGUGAGCCAGGUUGGUUUCUAUCUACUUUUUUUUUUAUUCUGAUUGGUACGAAAGGAUUUUUGGAAUGCAAUAUUUUGUU
RNAcentral lists this ribosomal RNA (1218 nucleotides) under Dichoptera sp. WW-2021a. RNAcentral's name for it is "large subunit ribosomal RNA". The stretch from base 994 to 1151 matches the Rfam family "Eukaryotic large subunit ribosomal RNA", at positions 2825 to 2984 of the family's 3401-position model. Lineage: Eukaryota; Metazoa; Arthropoda; Insecta; Hemiptera; Fulgoridae. The record is from RNAcentral.